RNAcentral lists this ribosomal RNA (476 nucleotides) under uncultured bacterium. RNAcentral describes it as "bacterial SSU rRNA". It matches the Rfam family "Bacterial small subunit ribosomal RNA", at positions 8 to 526 of the family's 1533-position model. The record is from RNAcentral.
AGAGUUUGAUCCUGGCUCAGAGCGAACGCUGGCGGCAGGCUUAGCACAUGCAAGUCGAACGGGCAUCCUUCGGGGUGUCAGUGGCAGACGGGUGAGUAACACGUGGGAACGUACCCUUCGGUUCGGAAUAACUCAGGGAAACUUGAGCUAAUACCGGAUACGCCCUUACGGGGAAAGGUUUACUGCCGAAGGAUCGGCCCGCGUCUGAUUAGCUAGUUGGUGGGGUAACGGCCUACCAAGGCGACGAUCAGUAGCUGGUCUGAGAGGAUGAUCAGCCACACUGGGACUGAGACACGGCCCAGACUCCUACGGGAGGCAGCAGUGGGGAAUAUUGGACAAUGGGCGAAAGCCUGAUCCAGCCAUGCCGCGUGAGUGAUGAAGGCCUUAGGGUUGUAAAGCUCUUUCGACGGGGACGAUAAUGACGGUACCCGUAGAAGAAGCCCCGGCUAACUUCGUGCCAGCAGCCGCGGUAAUAC